GUUUGAUCCUGGCUCAGGACGAACGCUGGCGGCGCGCCUAACACAUGCAAGUCGAACGAGCGAGAGAGAGCUUGCUUUCUUGAGCGAGUGGCGAACGGGCGAGUAACGCGUGAGGAACCUGCCUCAAAGAGGGGGACAACAGUUGGAAACGACUGCUAAUACCGCAUAAGCCCACAGGUCGGCAUCGACCAGAGGGAAAAGGAGCAAUCCGCUUUGAGAUGGCCUCGCGUCCGAUUAGCUAGUUGGUGAGGUAAUGGCCCACCAAGGCAACGAUCGGUAGCCGGACUGAGAGGUUGAACGGCCACAUUGGGACUGAGACACGGCCCAGACUCCUACGGGAGGCAGCAGUGGGGAAUAUUGCACAAUGGGGGAAACCCUGAUGCAGCGACGCCGCGUGGAGGAAGAAGGUCUUCGGAUUGUAAACUCCUGUUGUUGAGGAAGAUAAUGACGGUACUCAACAAGGAAGUGACGGCUAACUACGUGCCAGCAGCCGCGGUAAAACGUAGGUCACAAGCGUUGUCCGGAAUUACUGGGUGUAAAGGGAGCGCAGGCGGGAAGACAAGUUGGAAGUGAAAUCUAUGGGCUCAACCCAUAAACUGCUUCAAAA
RNAcentral lists this ribosomal RNA (607 nucleotides) under uncultured bacterium. RNAcentral's name for it is "bacterial SSU rRNA". It matches the Rfam family "Bacterial small subunit ribosomal RNA", at positions 11 to 631 of the family's 1533-position model. The record is from RNAcentral.